This 144-nucleotide unclassified non-coding RNA is filed under the name uncultured Helotiales. RNAcentral's name for it is "sequence contains ITS2". Lineage: Eukaryota; Fungi; Ascomycota; Leotiomycetes; Helotiales. The record is from RNAcentral.
CAACCUUCAAGCGCGGCUUGGUGUUGGGCGCGGCUUCCGUGGCCGGCCCCAAAGACAGUGGCGGCGCCGCCCGGCCCUGAGCGUAGUACUUGCCUCGCUACGGAGCCCGACGGCGGCUUGCCAGAAACCCCCCCCCACUCAGUG